RNAcentral lists this ribosomal RNA (872 nucleotides) under uncultured Actinomyces sp. RNAcentral's name for it is "bacterial SSU rRNA". It matches the Rfam family "Bacterial small subunit ribosomal RNA". The record is from RNAcentral. Lineage: Bacteria; Bacillati; Actinomycetota; Actinomycetes; Actinomycetales; Actinomycetaceae.
GACGAACGCUGGCGGCGUGCUUAACACAUGCAAGUCGAACGCUGAAGACCUGGCUUUUGUUGGGUUGGAUGAGUGGCGAACGGGUGAGUAACACGUGAGUAACCUGCCCCCUUCUUUGGGAUAACGCCCGGAAACGGGUGCUAAUACUGGAUAUUCACUGGCCUUCGCAUGGGGGUUGGUGGAAAGGUUUGUUCUGGUGGGGGAUGGGCUCGCGGCCUAUCAGCUUGUUGGUGGGGUGAUGGCCUACCAAGGCUUUGACGGGUAGCCGGCCUGAGAGGGUGACCGGUCACAUUGGGACUGAGAUACGGCCCAGACUCCUACGGGAGGCAGCAGUGGGGAAUAUUGCACAAUGGGCGGAAGCCUGAUGCAGCGACGCCGCGUGAGGGAUGGAGGCCUUCGGGUUGUAAACCUCUUUCGCUCAUGGUCAAGCCGCAACUGUGGGUUGUGGUGAGGGUAGUGGGUAAAGAAGCGCCGGCUAACUACGUGCCAGCAGCCGCGGUAAUACGUAGGGCGCGAGCGUUGUCCGGAAUUAUUGGGCGUAAAGGGCUUGUAGGCGGUUGGUCGCGUCUGCCGUGAAAUCCUCUGGCUUAACUGGGGGCGUGCGGUGGGUACGGGCUGACUUGAGUGCGGUAGGGGAGACUGGAACUCCUGGUGUAGCGGUGGAAUGCGCAGAUAUCAUGAAGAACACCGGUGGCGAAGCGGGUCUCUGGGCCGUUACUGACCUGAGAGCGAAAGCGUGGGGAGCGAACAGAUUAAUACCCUGUUAGUCCAGGGCGAAGUUCCACAGUGGAUAUCAGCCUUAUCGAUACCGUCGAACCUCGAGGGGGGGGCCCGGUACCCAGCUUUUGUUCCUUUAUGUAGAGGGUUAAUUA